RNAcentral lists this ribosomal RNA (119 nucleotides) under Pteropus vampyrus (large flying fox). Lineage: Eukaryota; Metazoa; Chordata; Mammalia; Chiroptera; Pteropodidae. The record is from RNAcentral.
GUCUAUGGCCAUGCCACCCUGAACGUGCCCAAUUUCAUCUGAUCCCAGAAGCCGAGCAGGGUCGGGCCUGGUUAGUACUUCGAUGGGAGACCACCUAGGAAUACCAGGUGCUAUAGGCG